This 458-nucleotide ribosomal RNA is filed under the name uncultured Desulfobulbaceae bacterium. RNAcentral describes it as "bacterial SSU rRNA". It matches the Rfam family "Bacterial small subunit ribosomal RNA", at positions 346 to 795 of the family's 1533-position model. Lineage: Bacteria; Pseudomonadati; Thermodesulfobacteriota; Desulfobulbia; Desulfobulbales; Desulfobulbaceae. The record is from RNAcentral.
GGGCUGCAGUGAGGAAUAUUGCGCAAUGGGGGAAACCCUGACGCAGCGACGCCGCGUGGAUGAUGAAGGCCUUCGGGUCGUAAAAUCCUGUCAGGUGGAAAGAAAUGUAGUAUGCCUAAUACGUGUACUAUUUGACGGUACCACCAAAGGAAGCACCGGCUAACUCCGUGCCAGCAGCCGCGGUAAUACGGAGGGUGCAAGCGUUGUUCGGAAUUACUGGGCGUAAAGCGCGCGUAGGCGGCUAUUUAAGUCAGAUGUGAAAGUCCACGGCUCAACCGUGGAAGUGCAUUUGAAACUGGAUGGCUUGAGUACUGGAGGGGGUGGUGGAAUUCCCGGUGUAGAGGUGAAAUUCGUAGAUAUCGGGAGGAAUACCGGUGGCGAAGGCGACCACCUGGCCAGAUACUGACGCUGAGGUGCGAAAGCGUGGGGAGCAAACAGGAUUAGAUACCCCUGUAGUC